This 410-nucleotide long non-coding RNA is filed under the name Homo sapiens (human). RNAcentral's name for it is "HSALNT0354116". The record is from RNAcentral. Lineage: Eukaryota; Metazoa; Chordata; Mammalia; Primates; Hominidae.
UCUAUGAUAGCAAUGGUGUUUCGUUUCUGGUGACUGAGUUAAUCCUUUACAAUCCCUCUUGUAAAGUGUGCUAAUAGAAAGAAUCCACCUUUCAAAGCUGCAGAACCAGACCGUGCCCUAAAUUGACCAACGUAACUGAUGUGCCUCGGGAAGUCUCUUGCCAGCUGUCCCUGUGAAGACCCCCCUCCUCCCCCCCAGCUGCUGCCUUGCACACUGAAGCAUCUCAGACUGCAAAGCCAUGUAGUCAUCAAGUCAGUAAAUCCCAGGGCUUGGUUAAGUGCUGUGUGAUAACUUGUUUGGAUGAGACUUAACUUAAAACCACUUACAAUAAAAUUGGGAAACUACCGUCAAAAAAAAAAAAAUAGCGUUAGUAGUUUCUAUCAGCAUUUUACCCCUGGCUGUUGUAGAAA